CCUUAGAGAACUAGCUGUGCAUUUCCAAUGCAAAGAAUAAAGUCCCAAGAGGAGCAUGAAGUUUCCAUUCAAUUCUGGAGGCAGGGAAGGCUAGCAUCCUAACUCCAGGUGGCCACCACACCAUGUUGGCAGCUGGCAUGGAGUGUGAAGAACGCUGAGCCUGGGAAGCACAGUCCAUCAUCAGAGACCUUCUAGGACAACAGAGGUCACUCCUUAGCUGCUUUGUACCCAACGUUUCCUGUCAUCAUUCAUACAUUUGGAACAGAUAUUGGCAAAGCAAAGGUUGACUUGGACUAUAAAACAGAAAGAACUAGAAAGGGACCUCCCGUGACCCUGUCGGGGAUCCAGCUGGACUCUGGCAAAGUCCCUGAGAUUCAUGGACACUUCUUCACGGGAAAUGCUAAUUCUACUCUGCUAGGCCACUCUCCAGAGAAAUUCCUCUCAAGUAUCAGCAGUGACCAUUGCACUAACACUAAGCCAAAGCCCCUAUGCUGCCUGGAAUAUUUAUUUACAUCACCUAUCUAAUGGUUUUUAGAUUAAAAUAAUAAUCUUGAUUU
RNAcentral lists this long non-coding RNA (557 nucleotides) under Mus pahari (shrew mouse). Its description in RNAcentral is "lncRNA (MGP_PahariEiJ_G0004500.1)". Lineage: Eukaryota; Metazoa; Chordata; Mammalia; Rodentia; Muridae. The record is from RNAcentral.